Molecule: ribosomal RNA, 650 nt
Filed under: uncultured archaeon
Lineage: Archaea
Description: bacterial SSU rRNA
Rfam family: Archaeal small subunit ribosomal RNA
Source: RNAcentral
UGGAAGGUCCCUAAACCGAAAGGGGCUCUGCCCGCCCGAGGAUGGGCCGGCGGCCGAUUAGGUAGUUGGUGGGGUAACGGCCCACCAAGCCCAUAAUCGGUACGGGCAGUGAGAGCUGGAGCCCGGAGAUGGACACUGAGACACGGGUCCAGGCCCUACGGGGCGCAGCAGGCGCGAAACCUCCGCAAUGCUCGAAAGAGCGACGGGGGGACCCCAAGUGCCGUGGUACAACCACGGCUUUUCCGGAGUGUAAGAAGCUCCGGGAAUAAGGGCUGGGCAAGGCCGGUGGCAGCCGCCGCGGUAAUACCGGCGGCCCGAGUGGUGGCCACUAUUAUUGGGCCUAAAGCGUCCGUAGCCGGGCUUGUAAGUCCCUGGCGAAAUCCCACGGCUCAACCGUGGGGCUUGCUGGGGAUACUGCAAGCCUUGGGACCGGGAGAGGCCGGGGGUACUCCUGGGGUAGGGGUGAAAUCCUAUAAUCCCAGGAGGACCGCCAGUGGCGAAGGCGCCCGGCUGGAACGGGUCCGACGGUGAGGGACGAAGGCCAGGGGAGCAAACCGGAUUAGAUACCCGGGUAGUCCUGGCUGUAAAGGAUGCGGGCUAGGUGUUGCUUGGACCUCGAGUCCAAGCAGUGCCGCAGGGAAGCCGUUAAG